GACGAACGCUGGCGGCGUGCUUAACACAUGCAAGUCGAACGGAAAGGCCCUGCUUUUGUGGGGUGCUCGAGUGGCGCACGGGUGAGUAACACGUGUGUAACCUGCACUUGUCUUUGGGAUAACUUUAGGAAACUGGGGCUCAUACCGGGUAGGAGCUCCUGCUGCAUGGUGGGGGUUGGUAAGAUUCGGCGGUUGUGGCUGGACUCGAGGCUUACGAGCUUGUUGGUGGGGUAGUGGCUUACCAAGGUUUUGACGGGUAGGCGGCCUGAGAGGGUGACCGGCCACAUUGGGCCUGCGAUACGGCCCAGACUCCUACGGGAGGCAGCAGUGGGGAAUAUUGCACAAUGGGCGGAAGCCUGAGGCAGCAACGCCGCGUGCGGGAUGACCGCCUUCGGGUUGUAAACCGCUUUCGCCUGUGACGAAGCGUUAGUGACGGUAAUGGGUAAAGAAGCACCGGCUAACUACGUG
Molecule: ribosomal RNA, 468 nt
Filed under: uncultured bacterium
Lineage: Bacteria
Description: partial 16S ribosomal RNA
Rfam family: Bacterial small subunit ribosomal RNA
Source: RNAcentral